GUGGGUCACAGGCCAGUGUGAGGAGGAGCCAACCCCUGACCCAGGGCCCUCGUCUCUCUCUUUUAUGUAUUUAUUUUAUUUGGUACUGGGGAUUAAGCCCAGGGGUACUUUGCUACUGAACUAAUGCCCAGCCCUUUCUACUUUUCAUUUUGAGACAGGGUCUCACUAAGUUGCUUGGGUCCUGACUAAGUGGCUAACGCUGGCCUCGAACUUGUGAUCCUCUUGCCCCAGCCUCCUGAGCUGUAGGGAUUACAGAUGUGCCCCACCACGCCUACUUGUCUCAUCUCUCUUUGUUCAUGCCCUCUUUUCCUCAGCUCCUUUUUUCCUCUUGGUGCCCCUUUCUCCUGCCUGCCACUGAACGGGGAGCUGGGGUGUGCAUAACAGGGCUCGGCCCAGUCCAGGUUUCCAUAAAUGCUAUUCAUUAUAACUCAGAGAAGUUCUGGUGGCGGUGGAUCCACCCUGGCUUCUUCUAUUUCAUGGUACUGUAAUGGAGAGGAGGAAAGGGCGCAGGCCUCUAGCCCCUGAGCUCAGACAGCUUCCGGAGUGUGAGUGGGGGGUAGGCACGUGUACGGGGGUGGUCACUGGGCCAGCGUGAGUCCAUGCCGCAGCCUCCGUUGGGUUCAGGUGGGUCUUGCAGGGAAUGGAGCAGCGGCUGAAAGUCAAGUUGCUUGGGCAAGAGGAAGGGUUUCUGGUGUGUUCUUCGUGCUGCCUGAUGAAGGACCCUCUGUUAUGUCCCUGAGAUUUCACACUCGAGUCCCGUGGACACAGGAGGCUGUGCAUUGUAAUCUGGAAGGGAUUUUUACUGAAGUUGCAGGAGGUGAAUGGUCAAGAAAUGGUGCUUCUGUACCUGUUGGCCAGAACCGAGAAAGCAGUGUCUUGCCUACUGAGCACAGAAGACAGGAUGUCCUUUUCGCACUGGGGAUGUGAGAACACGGUGUGGCUUUGGCCCUUCGUAUACAAGAAUGGUAACGCAGUGCCUGGGGCACCCAGCAGUGCCCAGCAGGGCAGCGGCACCUUGCAGG
Molecule: long non-coding RNA, 1022 nt
Filed under: Marmota monax (woodchuck)
Lineage: Eukaryota; Metazoa; Chordata; Mammalia; Rodentia; Sciuridae
Source: RNAcentral